CGAGCGAAGCGAGAGAACGUUGCGUUAGCAACGGCCCGCAGGGCGAGCCACGCAGCGGCGAGUCAUCCUCUAUCACCGGCAG
RNAcentral lists this small RNA (82 nucleotides) under Salmonella enterica subsp. enterica serovar Claibornei. Its description in RNAcentral is "partial RtT sRNA". It matches the Rfam family "RtT RNA", at positions 49 to 130 of the family's 130-position model. From Rfam's summary of the family: This family represents a bacterial cis-regulatory element known as RtT RNA. Lineage: Bacteria; Pseudomonadati; Pseudomonadota; Gammaproteobacteria; Enterobacterales; Enterobacteriaceae. The record is from RNAcentral.